GAUGAACGCUGGCGGCGUGCCUAAUACAUGCAAGUCGAGCGAACAGACGAGGAGCUUGCUCCUCUGACGUUAGCGGCGGACGGGUGAGUAAUACGUGGAUAACCUACCUAUAAGACUGGGAUAACUUCGGGAAACCGGAGCUAAUACCGGAUAAUAUAUUGAACCGCAUGGUUCAAUAGUGAAAGACGGUUUUGCUGUCACUUAUAGAUGGAUCCGCGCCGCAUUAGCUAGUUGGUAAGGUAACGGCUUACCAAGGCAACGAUGCGUAGCCGACCUGAGAGGGUGAUCGGCCACACUGGAACUGAGACACGGUCCAGACUCCAACGGGAGGCAGCAGUAGGGAAUCUUCCGCAAUGGGCGAAAGCCUGACGGAGCAACGCCGCGGGGGUGAUGAAGGUCUUCGGAUCGUAAAACUCUGUUAUUAGGGAAGAACAAAUGUGUAAGUAACUAUGCACGUCUUGACGGUACCUAAUCAGAAAGCCACGGCGAACUACGU
This 496-nucleotide ribosomal RNA is filed under the name uncultured bacterium. RNAcentral describes it as "partial 16S ribosomal RNA". It matches the Rfam family "Bacterial small subunit ribosomal RNA", at positions 28 to 506 of the family's 1533-position model. The record is from RNAcentral.